Molecule: long non-coding RNA, 684 nt
Organism: Lycium ferocissimum
Lineage: Eukaryota; Viridiplantae; Streptophyta; Magnoliopsida; Solanales; Solanaceae
Exons: 2
Source: RefSeq, a predicted model, not a curated record
UCUAUUUAUCGAGUCUCAACUUUUACCUUCCUAUAUAUACUUUCCUUCUAGUUUGCAAGGAGCAAGAAAUUCCAUUAUAUCUUUCAUUUAUGAAGGCAACUCAAUUACACCUAGUACCCUAAUAAAGGGAUGACGAUUCUAAUAAGGAAAAUACCAUUCCGUGCAUUUGUUGUUUAGGAUGCAACUGCGUUUAAGAAAUAGGUGAUGACAUUUGUAACAAUGAAUGCACGGAGCGUUUCUUAUUAGAAUCGCCAUCCCUUUAUUAGGUUCGCUGUUAAAACCUCCUGGCAAUGUGAAACCAGCUGCAAAGGUGACUGUAACGAGCAGAGUGGCCACCACUAGAUGUAUUUUUGUUGUUGAAAAUAUAGCUUCGAUUUUUGCUUCCCCUUUCAUCCUCUGGAUUCUUUCGUUUUAACCGAAAGUCAUGUCAUCCCAAUCGAUCAGAGCAAAGCUCAAGGUGGUCUUUGAAUUUCUCUUAUUGGCGGAACCAAGUGGAAGUCGAACCCCCUUUGGCGGAAAAAUACACUGUAUAUUCAAGGUUAAAAUUAUUUUUUAUGUACAGUAUAUACGGAGAUGUUGAAUGUCCUUGGCUUCUUCCUGUUCUUACUUCUUCAUGUUUUGAACCCCUUAGUAAAAAUUAUGGCUGCACUAUUGAUCACCAGUUGAUUACAUAUUGUCAAAGAA